RNAcentral lists this ribosomal RNA (605 nucleotides) under uncultured bacterium. RNAcentral's name for it is "bacterial SSU rRNA". The stretch from base 1 to 517 matches the Rfam family "Bacterial small subunit ribosomal RNA", at positions 338 to 873 of the family's 1533-position model. The record is from RNAcentral.
CCUACGGGAGGCAGCAGUGGGGAAUAUUGGACAAUGGGCGAAAGCCUGAUCCAGCAAUGCCGCGUGAGUGAUGAAGGCCUUAGGGUUGUAAAGCUCUUUUACCAGGGAUGAUAAUGACAGUACCUGGAGAAUAAGCUCCGGCUAACUCCGUGCCAGCAGCCGCGGUAAUACGGAGGGAGCUAGCGUUGUUCGGAAUUACUGGGCGUAAAGCGUACGUAGGCGGUUAUUCAAGUCAGAGGUGAAAGCCUGGAGCUCAACUCCAGAACUGCCUUUGAAACUAGAUAGCUAGAAUCUUGGAGAGGUGAGUGGAAUUCCGAGUGUAGAGGUGAAAUUCGUAGAUAUUCGGAAGAACACCAGUGGCGAAGGCGACUCACUGGACAAGUAUUGACGCUGAGGUACGAAAGCGUGGGGAGCAAACAGGAUUAGAUACCCUGGUAGUCCACGCCGUAAACGAUGAUAACUAGCUGUUCGGGCUCUACGAGCUUGAGUGGCGCAGCUACGCAUUAAGUUAUCCGCCGUCGGGUAGGUACGGUCGCGAGAAUUAAACUAACGAAAGAAGUUAGACGGCGUGAGACGUGCCGACGGACGACGACGAGGGAGGUAGG